GACAGAGGCCUCGAGCGUUAGGCGGAAUCACUGGGCUUAAAGCGUGUGUAGGCGGAUCGUUAAGUACCUUGUGAAAUCCCACGGCUCAACCGUGGAACGGCUGGGUAUACUGGCGGUCUUGGGCCAUUCAGGGGCGACUGGAACAAGCGGUGGAGCGGUGAAAUGCGUAGAUAUCAUUUGGAACGCCAAUGGUGAAAACAGGUAGCUGGGGAUGUGCUGACGCUGAGACACGAAAGCCAGGGGAGCGAACGGG
This 253-nucleotide ribosomal RNA is filed under the name uncultured bacterium. RNAcentral describes it as "partial 16S ribosomal RNA". It matches the Rfam family "Bacterial small subunit ribosomal RNA", at positions 524 to 776 of the family's 1533-position model. The record is from RNAcentral.